This is a microRNA precursor of Podarcis muralis (Common wall lizard), 79 nucleotides long. Lineage: Eukaryota; Metazoa; Chordata; Lepidosauria; Squamata; Lacertidae. The record is from Ensembl.
GGGUUGGUUGUUAUCUUUGGUUAUCUAGCUGUAUGAGUGGGGUCAAGUCUUCAUAAAGCUAGAUAACCGAAAGUAAAAA